CCACAUCUGCAACCGCGCAAGUUGAGUCUAAGCGCCAGUUCUGGCCACUUAACAUGGCGAGUCUAAGUGCAGGG
Molecule: regulatory RNA element, 74 nt
Organism: Abiotrophia defectiva ATCC 49176
Lineage: Bacteria; Bacillati; Bacillota; Bacilli; Lactobacillales; Aerococcaceae
Source: Rfam